CAGUACCGUGAAAUCCCUAAUUCCCCACUACUAGCCGCCGCUCACGCCGCCCCCAACAUCGCGACGCUCACUGCUCUCUCCGGUCGGCCGCUGCACCGCGCCGUCGCCCUCAAACCCUCCUGCCGCCCCCACAGCACCCAUCCCCCCCGAGAUCGAACCCUCUCCACCACCAAGGUGCUCCAUCCCCACCCCGUCACCAAGAACUCCGGCCUCUUCGUCAUCCUGGGUGCCGGGCAGAUCCCGGGGAAGACUAUGUCGGACGUGGAGAAGCACUUCCCACGCUAUCUUGCUCCUCCACUGCCGGCCCCACGUCGUCCUGCCUACCAGUGCCCCCCACGCGGCCCUGCUCCCCGCCGUUGCCCCCUCCAGGUUGCCGGCGGCGGAGAUUUAUGUCCGUGCGAACAUCCCGAUCGGAAACAUCAGUGCCAGUGGGUUCUUCUUCAGAGACCAUCCAUUUGACGUUCUGCCCCGAGUCCCGAUGACCUUCUUAUGUGCGGAUGUCAAAAGACAUGCCUUCUUUGUACCAUUCGCGAGACCAAACAGUGCCUGACAAAAGAAGGCAGCCAAACCUACUAACCAGCGGGAUCCGAAUGAUGUGUGGAUUUCCAAAAGGAAGAAGAAGGCCAUUCACAAGACCACGACCACUGAUGGCAAGAUCACGACCUUGAAAAUGGUAGUAAUGAACACCAUUCUUGGUAUCGAAGAGUGCAAACAUCCAUCACAACACAUGGGUAGUCACUGGAACACCACCGUUGAAAAAGCUGCAAGAUAUUCUGGCAACACUUAUCAACCAACUGGAGCUAGUCAUCCAUGGUGGCAACGACAUCGGGAAGAUCUCACCUUGCUUUUUUACUUGGAUUUAUAGCCUGGGUUUGUUGGUGAAGUAAUGAUCGAAGGAGAUAGUAAAUUGUUGUCUGUGGUAGCAAAUGGCUUGCCUACAACAGAGGACUUUGAGCAUGUCACUGAUUUGGAAAUAUUGAAGGUUCCACCUGUCCCCAUGGAUAAAUUCCUUUAUCUUUUUAUUGGGUUAAUCUCUACAGCAAAUAAUUUUAAACGUAGAAUAGUGGUUCUUAAACGUAGAAUAGUGGUUCGUAGAACUGGGGUAUCAUGUGUGGGUAGUGACCACCUUAUUGAAGAUCCUUCUUCCUGUUUUGAUUGCAUUUUCAUUCACUAUGUACUUGGUUACACCUUGUCACAAGACAACACUCUUCAAAAUUUUGUCAAAACUCUUCUUGUGUUCUGUUUAUUCUAGAAUUACAGCUCCUCACUUCAUGGUCAAUACUUAUGUGCCUCUUUUGCUGCCUUUGAUAAAAUCAUAAAAAUGAGGUGGUGAACGAGGAGCUCUGGAAUGAAGCACAGACAUAUGGAGACAUCAAGUUGCUGCUGUUUGUUGAUUAUUAUAACAAGUGGAAUGGCAAGUUAUCCCCCAUGGGCAAUAGACCAGGAUAAAUUGUAUGUCAGGAUAUAGCAAAAGAAGUUUACAGGAAACACAAAAGAGGGGAGCAAAAGAUUUUCAAGCUGGAGGAUGUCCUCCCAAGAUGAAGAAUGAAAGCUUUGAUGUCAAGUAUGAGAACGAUGCAAGGAUCUUUUUCGAAGGCUAUGAGGAUGGGCAUGUAGUUGCUUCCCCACUAGUAGGAGCCAAGGCAGACAAUGUGCCUUUUAGACAAAUUCUAGAAAACAAAACAAGGAUUUUUUGCUCUCAGACAAUGAACCAUAACGUUUCCUUUAUUUAAUUACUUACAUUGGUUUAUAGGAAACUUUGAUGGUCA
Triticum urartu is the source of this 1769-nucleotide non-coding RNA. The record is from RefSeq and is a predicted model, not a curated record. Lineage: Eukaryota; Viridiplantae; Streptophyta; Magnoliopsida; Poales; Poaceae.